CCUGAAAGGGUAGGGUGCCCGCAAGGGAACGUGGAGACAGGUGGUGCAUGGCUGUCGUCAGCUCGUGUCGUGAGAUGUUGGGUUAAGUCCCGCAACGAGCGCAACCCUCACCCCUAGUUGCCACCGGGUAAAGCCGAGCACUCGAGGGGAACUGCCAGCGUCAAGCUGGAGGAAGGCGGGGAUGACGUCAAGUCAUCAUGCCCCUUACGUCCUGGGCUACACACGUGCUACAAUGGCCGGUACAAAGGGAUGCAAGACCGCGAGGUGGAGCUAAACCCAAAAAGCCGGUCUAAGUUCAGAUUGGAGUCUGCAACUCGACUCCAUGAAGGAGGAAUCGCUAGUAAUCGCGUAUCAGCACGACGCGGUGAAUACGUUCCCGGGCCUUGUACACACCGCCCGUCAAGUGAUCUGAGUCGGCUGUACUCGAAGUCGCUGAG
Molecule: ribosomal RNA, 437 nt
Filed under: Methylomirabilis oxygeniifera (SeqCode)
Lineage: Bacteria; Methylomirabilota (SeqCode); Methylomirabilia (SeqCode); Methylomirabilales (SeqCode); Methylomirabilaceae (SeqCode)
Description: bacterial SSU rRNA
Rfam family: Bacterial small subunit ribosomal RNA
Source: RNAcentral